This 66-nucleotide small nucleolar RNA is filed under the name Stegastes partitus (bicolor damselfish). The record is from RNAcentral. Lineage: Eukaryota; Metazoa; Chordata; Actinopteri; Pomacentridae.
UGUGAAUGAUGACAAGUCUCUUCCUGAAAUCACUGAGGGUACAAACUGAUUUAAUGAGCCUGAUGC